GAGAACCCAGGGCUCGCCGGGAUGCUGUCCUCCCUCCCUCUGCCAAGCUGGUGGGAAGGCCCUUGCCAAAGCGCACAAGACCCCUUCACACAGCAGGGGCACAAGGUCUUCGAGGCAGAGUCGCCUGCAGGUGGGGUGGAAGGGGUGCGCCCCAGACCCGAGGAUUGCCCACCUCUCCAAGACCAUCCCUGGCUGCUGGCCCAGUGAUGAGCACCAUCCGGAAGUGAAGGCUGAUGGGUACGUGGACAACCUCGCAGAGGCAGUGGACCUGCUGCUGCAGCACGCGGACAAGUGACAGCCUCCUGGGAGAGCCCC
RNAcentral lists this small RNA (315 nucleotides) under Pongo abelii (Sumatran orangutan). RNAcentral describes it as "processed transcript". The record is from RNAcentral. Lineage: Eukaryota; Metazoa; Chordata; Mammalia; Primates; Hominidae.